RNAcentral lists this long non-coding RNA (6795 nucleotides) under Malus domestica (apple). Its description in RNAcentral is "long non-coding RNA (MDOM_LNC001649)". The record is from RNAcentral. Lineage: Eukaryota; Viridiplantae; Streptophyta; Magnoliopsida; Rosales; Rosaceae.
AUCUGCAGUGUAGUGCCGUACAGGUCAUCGAGGUGACUCCGGUUGGAUUGGAUGUUGAGCUAUAGAAUUAACCGUACAGGACCAACUGCAGGGUCUCCGGUUAAUUCAACUUUUCACCUGUUACAUUGAUGCAUCAUUUAUUUUGUUUUCGAAAUUAAAACAUGGCAUACUUUUCGAGUUUUAAAGAAAAAUUGAUGAUUCGAGAUUUAUGAAAAGUAUUAUGUUAUUAUACUAUUUUCUGGGAAAAGUAUACAGGUUUUACAGUGAGGGGUUAGAAUUAUUUUUGGCGAAAUGUUUUUGAAAAGCUUGGUUUUACUGACCCACUCAAUUUUGUUUUUCGCCCCUCCAGGUUCUUGAUAGCAGAGUUUUGGUGGCCACGAGGAAUCCAACGGUAUUCUGACAGAAUUCACAAAAGUAGGACUCACCCUCGAGGGUUUCCAUUUUAAUAAUUGUAUUUUAAAAGCUUCCGAACUGUGUAAAUGGUUACGUCACUCUCAUGUGACGGCCAGCAUGCCCUCCUUCGGGACGGGGUGUGUCAGUUGGUAUCAGAGCCUAGGUUUCAAUCUUGGACAUCUUUAGAAUUUCCUUGUGUCUUCUGUCAGAACUUUACCGCCUCGUAGCGAGCCACGUAGUUGGGAUGAGUUUAGUUUCCCGGAUAUAGUAGCUUAGGGGGGGAAACUAUUGCUAAUAUAAUCCAGUCUAUUAUCUAAGAAACCCUUUGAGACUGGUUAUAAGUUGAAUUUGAAUCACUUUAUGGAAAUUAUGAACCUGAGGGAGCAGAGUGUUGGCUUACUCACUUGGAAAAGACGUUUUGGGUUAUGCAAGUAAAACGAAUCUUCCUUCUGACAGGUGGGUCGAGACGACUACCUGAUUGUGGGUUAUGAAUUUGUAUCCUGGUGGAAACAGGAGUAUUAUUCGUUGUCACCAGAGGAAACAGCUGAUUGAGAAUUAUUUAAGGAAUUGUUAAAGAAAAGAUUUAUUCCUCCGGUAUAUUAUGAUGGUAGUAUGCAAGAGUUUGCAAAGGUGAAACAAGGAAGAUGACGGCAAAUGAGUAUUAUAGAAAGUUUUUAGACUUGCCUCGUUUCCAUUUGGAUAUUGUUGCUAAGUUGGUUGAAGUGUUAUGUUGUUUUAGGCUGGAUAAUAAGAAGAAGUGACGUUCUUUGGCGACCACUAUCUAUUGUACUGUCUAUCAAGAGUUUACGAGAUGUUGUUGAGGGUUGAGGACUCUGAGAACAUGAUCAGCGUGAGUAAAGAAGAAUAAGAAAAAAAUGGUGAUUAGAGGAAAGACGAUAAGUUUAAAGAAUCGUCAUAUCAAGGACAUCGAAAGACUCAGAGCUUCAAAAGAAGUGAAGUUAGAACUAAUUCUUCCAGCUGAGAUUUUAAUGCCACUGGUCAGAGGCGAAGUGAUAGAUUUAUUGGUGAGCCCAGAUCUCAGAGAUAAGGUGAUUUGAAUAAGAGAAAUGUACCUUUGUACCGUAUGUACAAUAUUAGACACUUUGGAGAGUGUGGGAAUCAGUGAAUGUGUUUAUGUGGUUGGAUGAGACAUAGAGGUAUGAAUGGUCCUUAGAAUCAGUUGUUACCCAGCAGUCUUCCCUGACACCACAGUAUCGAUCCAGCAGGGUUAUGGACUUAGUAGUUUGGUCAGAUUGGCGAUGGGUACAAGGAUAAUUGAUGAGUUAUAAGUCCAGCCGUACAGGCAACAAAAGGUGGAUCCGGCGAACAUAUUAUUUGGAAAAUUGAGGAGUAAGCCGUACAGGUCAUUCUAGCUGACUCCGGCUGAUAUAUUUCUUAUCAUGGACGAUGUUGCCAAAGAGGGUAAUGUUGGAGCACGAUCGAGGCGUAUUUAUGUAUUUCUAAUGAAGAACAAGAUGAUAAUAUUACACAUUCAGGGUGUCCAGUGAUGGUGGAAGAAGUAGUUAUGCCAGUGAAUCUUAUCCUGUUAGACAUUUUCUCGAUGUUUUCCCUGAGGAAUUACCUGGAUUGCCGUCGGGCGGAGAUAUAGAGUUUAAUGUUGAUUUGUAUCCAGAUACCAAUUUUAUGUUAGAGAUUGGUUUAUGAUGAGUUAAGAGAAUUGGAAAUUCGAUUACAUGAAUUAGUUGAUAAAGGUUUUAUUCAAAGUACAUCACGUUGGGAGAACACCAGUUUAUUGGUGAGGAAGAAAUGGACAUUAAGGCUAUGUUUUAAUUAUAAGUAAUUGAAUCGGGUAAUGAUCAAGAACCGUUAUCCAUUAUUGCGUAUUGAUGAUUUAUUGAUCAACUUAGAGGUCUGCGUAUUUCCUAAGAUUGACUUAAGGUCUGGUUGUUACCGAUUGAAGAGUUAAUGAUAACGUUCCUACGAUUGUGUUCAGGACUCGUUACGGUUAUUAUGAGUUUUCGUGAUGCUAUUCGAAUUGACGGAUUCUCCUGCUGUUUUAUAAGUUGAUGGAUGAAGUUUUCCAAGAAUAUCUUGAUAGGUUCGUUAUUGUUUUCAUUGACGAUACUCUGGGAUACUCUGAGCCGAGAGCAGAGCAUGUUAGAUAUUUUAAGUUGAUGUUACAAAGAUUGAAGGAACGUUGAUUGUAUGCUAAGUUUAGCAAAUGUCAAUGUUGUAUGAAUCAACAACAAUUAUAAAAUGCAUUAUAUAUGCUUAAGGUAUUCAAGCGAAAUUUUAAAAGGUAGCAGCGAUUGAGAAUUUGGAACAAUCGCGAACCGUGGCUGAAGUUUGGAAUUUUCUUGGCUUAGCAGGGUGUUAUAGAUGGUUUGUUGAAGGUUUUAAUGAUGCUUCUUUGAGUGGUGUUGGAUGUGUUAAAGUGGAAGUGUUAAAGUGCAAGUGUUAAGGUAAUUGUCUAUGCUCCGCGACAAAUGGAAACCUCAUGAGAUAAAUUACUCUACUCGUGAUUUGGAAUUAACAACUAUCAUCUUUGCUGGGAAGAUUAGGAGACAUUAUCUUUAUGAAGAAAAGUGUAAGAUUUCUACGAAUCAUGAGAGUCUCCAAUAUCUGUUUACUCAGAUGAAUCUGAUCUUAGGCAACGAAGAUGGGGUUGCUUAGUGAUUAUGAUUGCACGACCAGGGUGAUCUUGAAAUUUUUGCGACCAAAGCACUUGGUAGGAAAGCUCCAGUAAGAAUUAAUGCUUUGUAUACUUGUUAUGUUUUCCUUCUUGCGGAUUUGAGACCUACUGGGAUGAAGCUUAAGGUAAAAGUUAAGAAGAAGUUUUAUUGGCUAAUUUUCAAGUUAGGCUGAUUUUAGUUGAUUGUCUACUUGACGCCUAGAAAAGUGAGGAAGGAAAUUUUGGAUGAAGCUCAUUGUUCAGCUUAUGCGAUGCACCCGGGAGGAACUAAAAUGUAUCAUACCAUUCGACCAUUUUAUUAUUGGCCUGGUAUGAAAAGAGAAAUUGCUGAGUAUGUAAGUAGAUGUAUUAUUUGCCAGCAAGUGAAGGCAGAAAGAAAGAAACAUUUUGGUCGGAUGCGGCCACUUCCCGUUCCUCUGUGGAAAUGGGAAAAUAUCACUAUGGAUUCUGUGUAUAAGCUUCCACGUACACAGAAUGGAUUUGAUAGCGUUUGGGUGGUUGUAGAUCGGCUUACCAAGCCAGCACACUCCAUUUCAGUGGGAGAAAAGUAUCCUUUGAAUAAAUUAGCUAAGUUGUUCAUCACAAAGAUUGUGAGGUAUCAUGGAGUUCCAGUAAAUAUUAUCUCUGAUCGAGACCCGAGAUUUACUUCUAAAUUCUGGGUGGCUUUUCAGGAAGCUCUGGGUACAUAAUUACUGUAUAGCACUGCUUAUCAUCCUCAAACUGAUGGGCAAUCAGAGAGGACUAUUCAGACGUUGGAAGAUAUGUUGAGAUCUUCAGUAUUACAAUUUGGUGAUUCCUGGCAUGAUCGUCUGGACUUGAUGGAGUUUGCUUAUUAUAACAGUUUUCACUCGAGCAUUGGUAUGUCACCAUUUGAGGCACUUUAUGGUAGGGCGUGUCGAACGCCAUUAUGUUGGUCUAAGGUUGGUGAAAGAGUAUUAGAAGGCCCAAAGAUUGUAGAUGAGACAACUCAAAAUGUUCAGGUAAUUAAGUCAAACCUGAAAGCAGCCCAGGAUCGACAGAAGAGUUUAGCGGAUCGGCAUACUACUGAUCGAGUAUAUAAUGUGGGUGAUUGGGUGUUUUUGAAAUUGUCACCUUGGAGAGGUGUGGUACGAUUUGGGAAAAGAGGAACGCUAAGUCCGAGAUACAUUGGACCUUAUGUGAUCAUUGAAAGAGUUGGUGAAGUUGCCUACCGGUUGGAGCUGCCUCCGGAGUUAUUUAAGGUCCAUAAUGUGUUUCACGUCUCUAUGCUUCGACAUUAUAUUUUUGAUCCUUCUCAUGUGAUCCCUCCUCAACCGCUAGAGGUUAAUCCGGACUUGACUUAUGAUGAGGAACCAAUCACGAUUUUGGAUUGGAAAGAUAAGGUUCUAAGGAACAAAACGGUUAGUUUGGUGAAGGUGUUGUGGAAGAACCAUUCUGUUGAGGAAGCUACCUGGGAGACGGAAGAUCGGAUGAGAGAGAUAUACCCAAGGUUAUUUUAUGGGUAUUAAGUGCGUUAUUUGGUUCUGGGAAUUUCGGGGACGAAAUUCUAUAAGGAGGGGAGAUUGUCACAGCCCGUCCCGAGAUUUUCAUAUCAGGAGUGUGAAAUGACGGAAAUACCCUUGACGUCACUAAGGUGUGUGUGUGACAUGUUUUGGAUAUUUCAUAUUUUUCCUAAACUAUUGGAAAUGUCAUUUAAGUUGGAUAAAAAUAUUGAAAAGUUGGAUUGUUUGUUUGGUUAGGGAUUUAGAGAAUGGAUGGUGUGGAUUGAUUUUGGUCACCUAUACCCUUACACUUUCAUUCUCUCUAUCCCGUGGCUCUCUCUCUCCUCCAUCCCGACUCUCUCUCUACACACACCCAUACGUACGGACACACCCAAAAAUCUUCCAAACUCGACGGAUCGAGGCAACCAAGGUAUGCAUCUUCAUCAUUGAGUCAUUUUAAGUCGAUUGGUACUAGUUUUAGGAAGUGAAACCCUCGAAAUCACGUGAAACCCGAACCUAUAUUUUUCGUCACUGUUCAUGCACUCGUAAUAUGUUGUGUUUCAGGGAAUUCUAAGCUUAUAGUGAGCUUAGUGAGGUCCCAAGGAAGCUCGGAGUGCUUCGUUGGAAGGAUUUGGACGUCGGGAUCACGAGGGUUAAGUUUGGCCGAUUUUGUUUGGAUUUUUCCGGUGAGAUUUCUUGAUUUUUAGAGCCUUAAACUAGUCUAUUGUGAUUCUACAUGUUGAGGGCUUUAAAUUGAUAUAUUAUACGAAGAAAAUGGUUGAGAAACGAAGGAGAACGAAGCAUUUGAAAAUUCCCCAGUUUUCCGGCCGCCGGAAAAACCAGUCCGGCGAACCAAGGUUGGGGAUGAUGCGCGUGGGGGCGCGUGUCCCCGUGCUUGUCCUGGCGCGUGGGGGGGCGCGUGGAACAUCAAAAAAAUAAUCUAAAAAUAUGUCGACGUUCGUGACGUCAAGUAGAUCACUGUGGUAUAUUCAUAUACCCAAAUUGAGCACCGUAUGAGAAAGUUAUUACGAUUAUUGGUUAGGUGCUUUAAAUAACGUUUUAUAGUUUUCGCCUUUAGGUGAAAAUGGGAAUUGACGAUCCGACCGUUGGAUCGUCACCAAACUUUGAUACGUUGAAAUACGUAAUAUUUGAGGAUUAUUGGAACUUACGGAUUGGGAAUCCGAGUUACGGAUCUUCCAGAAUUGGAGUUGUAAGUUCAUAAAAUAAAAUGUUAACCGUCACUUAGUUUUGGAAAUUGACGGAGAUCCGACCGUUGGAUGGUAAUGAAAUUUCAGGAUGUUGUCCUAGGGAUAUAUUGUGGACCUCUGGAAGUUAUGGAUUUAAAAUCUGAGUUGCAGAUCUUUCGGAUCAAUCUAUGUAGUGACGUAUUUUAUAUAAGUUAUAUUCUAUCGAUAUGAUUUCUGAGGUUGGAUUUGAUUAUUGUUCUAGGCGGCGAUCGUCGUCAUGACGCCUUGAUGAUGAGUUGUGCUAGGGAGUUGUAGGGCGAACUCCAGGUGAGUGGGCAGUUUUGUUUUCGUAUUACCUAUAUACUAUUGAGUUUUCCCAGAAAUUGAAUUUAAAUGAAAGUAUGAUUUAAAAUGCCAUGGAUAGAUUUAUAUGAAAAGUAUGAUUUGAAAUGCCAUGCAUAGAAGUAUAUGAAAAGCAUGAAUUGAUGUAUGAUGUAUAUAUAUAUAUGUGAAUUGGUGCUGUGGACGCACAGGUAAGUAUCAGGUGAGUUUUAUAUUAUUCAUGUGCAUUGUUGAUGUGUAUAUUGUGGAUAGCUCAUAACCUGCAAUCAUGGUGUUAGUGCUUAUAUUAUUCACCACACCGCACGCUCGUCUUGGAUCCAAGUAGGUGGAUGUCGUACAGACCAAGUGAGGGUUCCGACAUGCUAGUCGUAUAGAUUACUAGAUGUGAUUCCGACUAGUGGGUGACCUUAGAUUAUGUGCACAGAUGAUUGAUGAGAGAAGCACUAGAGCGUAUUAUUACACCAUCCAUGUCGUACAGACUACUUCAGGUAGUUCCGACUUAUCUGCAGUGUAGUGCCGUACAGGUCAUCGAGGUGACUCCGGUUGGAUUGGAUGUUGAGUUAUAGAAUUAACCGUACAGGACCAACUGCAGGGUCUCCGGUUAAUUCAACUUUUCACCUGUUACAUUGAUGCAUCAUUUAUUUUGUUUUCGAAAUUAAAACAUGGCAUACUUUCGAGUUUUAAAGAAAAAUUGAUGAUUCGAGAUUUAUGAAAAGUAUUAUGUUAUUAUACUAUUUUCUGGGAAAAGUAUACAGGUUUU